CAUCUUGCUGUGUUUUCCAGGCUGGACCUGAAUGAACUCCUGGGCUCAAUCAAUCCUUCCACCUCAGCCUAACAUUUACACUGGGAGCAGAGAUGCAUUUGGACAUAUAAACUGUUAACAUGAGGUAAGCGCCAAGGUCUAGAGAAGGCAGUGGAAGAGAUGGCAAACUCCGGCACCAUGUCUGCGUGUCCAGUGUGCUCUGCUGGAGCAGCACAUUUUUGUACAUUGCUGUAUUUGAAAAAACCCUGCAAGAAUCAUGAAACUGGACGACCAUCUUUAUAACACUCCCAGUGAUAAAACAAGUAAGAAUGGCUGGUUUGUAGUCAUCUGAGCAGCCUCUCUAGUUUCGUAGAUAUGGUUUCUCUCUGAUAUCGAACGACUUCCAAUGUCAAGCGGAAUGCUACAUCACAAGGAUAACCGUAUGUGAAAAGAACCAGUUUUCUUUGUAAUCCUGAACUUUCUAGUUUGCGCAUUAAAAGACAUUAUUUGAAGAAGAGCGCACAGGCUCCAGCUGGCCGCCAAAGGGGUCCUUGGCAUCACAGACUAAGAACCUACUUCUCUGGGAGAGACCAGGGGCGUGGAUGGGAGGGAAAAGAGGGAGAGGCAGGCGUCACUUCCUCCGCCGGCUCCCGCAGCGGGUUCAUCGGCUGAGGUGGCAGAGGGUGGGGCAGAAGAGCAGAGCCGGACCGGGAAAGGUGCUGUCGGUGACAUCACGGAUAGGGCGAUUCCUGUGUAGAUGAGGCAUCUCAGGGGCUGCUGCUUCGCCACGGAGGAUUUCUCCUGCUGUGGGAGCAAGUCCAGGACCGCCGGUUGGACGUGAUAGUCCCAGCUUUGGAUGGCUGGGGAACAGAAGUGGCAUGUCGUUGUCCUCGCUGGAGAAGGAACAAGCGUCAGCCGUUGUGAGCCUGUUUAUCACAAGUUAACUAGCGCGAAGGCUGCAUAGCUUUUCCCUUUGAACAUAAGGCUGCUUAUUGCAAAAAUUGAUCCAUGGUCUCCAGUCUCUUGGGGUCUCACGCUCUGUGAAAAUCUUCGUGUUUUCCCCUAGGCCCCUGUCACCUUUUACACAGCCUCUGUUUCAGGAUUUCUGUGCUAGCGAGGAAUCAGUUCUCACCUCAUAGAGCCAGGUGGAAACUACGCAGACAGGCACUCUUCUUUGGGAUGAAAGCAGGGCCUUUGGGGCUCUUAGUGUCCCCGUUCGGUUGUAGACAUAACACGCUUGCUUUGUGUAGGAGAACGGCUCUGCCAGCGCCCAGGUGUCCUAACGCAAUUCAUCGAGGCCCGCAGGUCAGAACCGCAGUCUCACUUGUCUUGGCGGAAAUGCGCUGCGAUCCUCCCUGCACUACAUGAACACGAGAAUUCCACUACAGAAGAAAACCCCAGUCCUAGUGAUGGCGGUUCUGGGCAUUUUGCCAGCCUCUCCCAGGGUGUGUUUUCUGACCCCACCCACUUCUGAUCUGUAAUGUCCUGGUCAAUAGAAACUACCUGGCCCAAACGGAAAAGGCAAGGAGGAACACAGCGGGAAAGCCUAUGGCGUUCCCUGGUGGCUACCCCGGGGACUGCACUCAUAGAUCCGCGUGUUCCGAGAAGCCUCUGCCAUCCCGACUAGGGUGCGGUGCAGAAACCCGCGGCUCCAAAGAAAACCGGCUAGAACGCACAGGAAGCCCAGCCAGUGUUCAGGACACUGCGAGUGGAAGCCAUACGUCCUACGGACUGAUCUAGUUUGAUGAAGACGAGCCAUUUACUUCUAACCCCAGCAGCGGACAUUGCCUUGCUCAAAUAUAAAAUAUAUGAACCAAGACGAAAGCAACUUUCAUUGCGUUACUAAUGAGCAAACGGGUUUUUAGAAUGGUUAAGAAAUGUCCCUUGUUUUGGGACCGUCAUCACUAACGUAUGCUUGGGAUUCCUGAUCGAGGAGUUUCUGAGCAAAGCAGCCCACCAAUCCAGUGGCUGAGAACGGCUUGGAUAUUGGCUUCCAGGCGCAUCAGAAAUACCGAGGUUCUGACAAAGACGUGAGCUUCUGUCUGCCUUUGGGAAGGCCUUCUUCCAGUACUGGCGCUGCCGCUUGCCUUCUGUUUGACCUGGGGCCAGGUCCUUCAAUUUGCUAGGCUUCAAGUUGGAAAGUGUUACAGGAAAAUAAUAAGACGAAGUACUUCUUAGAGUUAUUGCACAGAUUACAGAAGAUAGUCUAAUAGUACAGCUAGCAUCCUGUAUGGCUUACAUUAAGGAUUUGCUGAUAGGAAACAACAUCCCAGAUAAAGUUUUUUCCCCCUUAAUUAUGAAAUAUAACAAAGGAAAUUGUGUAGGCUUCUGCUUCAGGCCUCUGUAAAAUUUGAAUGAAUUUUGCACUUAUGAAGAUUACGUCCUUUUACAAAAUAAGUUAAUACUAAAGAAUGACAAACGGAAUUUACAAAACAAAUAUUAACAAAAAGAACUUGUUCUUAGCAGCUUUGUUUACAAUAGUCCCCAAACUGGAAACAGUUCAUAUGUAUCAAGAGGUUAAUGGACCUUUUGUGAUAUAUUCAUCCAAUGGAAUACCACCCUCAGUAAGAUGGGACAAAUUAUGGAAACAUGAGAUAACAUGGGUGAAUCUCAAAAGAGUGCAUUCUGUGUGGUGCCAUCAAGGUGAAUUUCUGGAACAGGUGAAACUAACCUGUAUAGUGGCAGAAAAUACAUCAUUAAUUGCUGGGGUCAGGGAGUCGAGGGGACUGACUGCAAAGGGCACAAGAGGACCUUCUGGAGUAGUAGACAUGUCAUCAAACUUGAAAUGGAUGUAUUGUACCAUAUUCAACCAAUGCCUUAAUCAAUUUGAUUGUAAAAAGUAGUAAGAAAACCACUGCAGGCCAGACGUGGUGGCUCACGCCUGUAAUCCUUGCACUUUGGGAGGCUGAGGCAGGCGGAUCACCUGAGGUCAGGAGUUUGAAACCAGCCUGGCCAACAUGGAGAAACCCCAUCUCUACUAAAAAUACAAAAAAAAUUAGCUGGGUGUGAUGUAGACGCCUGUAAUCCCAGCUACUCAGGAGGCUGAGGCAGGAGAAUCUCUUGAACCUGGGAGUGGAGGUUGUAGCAUGUGGAGAUCGCGCCACUACACUCCAGCCUGGGUGACAGAGCAAGUGAUGCUGCUCUAAAAAAAAAAAAAAAAGAAAAAGAAAAAGAAAACAAAAGAAAAAGAAAAA
Molecule: RNA transcript, 3173 nt
Organism: Homo sapiens (human)
Lineage: Eukaryota; Metazoa; Chordata; Mammalia; Primates; Hominidae
Exons: 3
Source: RefSeq, a predicted model, not a curated record